This 430-nucleotide ribosomal RNA is filed under the name bacterium. RNAcentral's name for it is "partial 16S ribosomal RNA". It matches the Rfam family "Bacterial small subunit ribosomal RNA", at positions 355 to 776 of the family's 1533-position model. The record is from RNAcentral.
UGGGGAAUAUUGGACAAUGGGCGCAAGCCUGAUCCAGCCAUGCCGCGUGUGUGAAGAAGGCCUUUUGGUUGUAAAGCACUUUAAGCGAGGAGGAGGCUACUUGGAUUAAUACUCUAAGAUAGUGGACGUUACUCGCAGAAUAAGCACCGGCUAACUCUGUGCCAGCAGCCGCGGUAAUACAGAGGGUGCGAGCGUUAAUCGGAUUUACUGGGCGUAAAGCGUGCGUAGGCGGCUUCUUAAGUCGGAUGUGAAAUCCCUGAGCUUAACUUAGGAAUUGCAUUCGAUACUGGGAAGCUAGAGUAUGGGAGAGGAUGGUAGAAUUCCAGGUGUAGCGGUGAAAUGCGUAGAGAUCUGGAGGAAUACCGAUGGCGAAGGCAGCCAUCUGGCCUAAUACUGACGCUGAGGUAUGAAAGCAUGGGGAGCAAACAGG